CUUCACCGACCCCAGCCACAAUGGACGCUCACUCUCGCGCCCCUGCCCGUACGUGGCGAGCAGCGCCUGCGCCUC
RNAcentral lists this antisense RNA (75 nucleotides) under Streptomyces monashensis. RNAcentral describes it as "Streptomyces sp. MUSC 1 ASpks TB sRNA". It matches the Rfam family "ASpks TB sRNA". The record is from Rfam by way of RNAcentral. Lineage: Bacteria; Bacillati; Actinomycetota; Actinomycetes; Kitasatosporales; Streptomycetaceae.